CGCUGGCGGCGUGCCUAAUACAUGCAAGUCGAGCGAACCGAUGAAGAGCUUGCUCUCAAAGGUGAGCGGCGGACGGGUGAGUAACACGUGGGCAACCUGCCUGCAAGAUCGGGAUAACUCCGGGAAACCGGGGCUAAUACCGGAUAAUGCAUUUCGCUGCAUGGCAGAAUGCUAAAAGGCGGCUUCGGCUGUCACUUGCAGAUGGGCCCGCGGCGCAUUAGCUAGUUGGGGAGGUAACGGCUCCCCAAGGCGACGAUGCGUAGCCGACCUGAGAGGGUGAUCGGCCACACUGGGACUGAGACACGGCCCAGACUCCUACGGGAGGCAGCAGUAGGGAAUUUUCCGCAAUGGGCGCAAGCCUGACGGAGCAACGCCGCCGUGAGUGAGGACGGCUUUCGGGUUGUAAAACUCUGUUCUUCGGGAAGAACGGCGGUCGGGUGAAUAGCCCGAUUGCGUGACGGUACCGAAGGAGAAAGCCCCGGCUAACUACGUGCCAGCAGCCGC
RNAcentral lists this ribosomal RNA (504 nucleotides) under uncultured bacterium. RNAcentral's name for it is "bacterial SSU rRNA". It matches the Rfam family "Bacterial small subunit ribosomal RNA", at positions 34 to 518 of the family's 1533-position model. The record is from RNAcentral.